UACGUAGGGUGCGAGCGUUGUCCGGAAUUAUUGGGCGUAAAGAGCUCGUAGGCGGUCUGUCGCGUCUGCUGUGAAAUCCCGAGGCUCAACCUCGGGCUUGCAGUGGGUACGGGCAGGCUAGAGUGCGGUAGGGGAGAAUGGAAUUCCUGGUGUAGCGGUGAAAUGCGCAGAUAUCAGGAGGAACACCGGUGGCGAAGGCGGUUCUCUGGGCCUUACCUGACACUGAGGAGCGAAAGCGUGGGGAGCGAACAGG
Molecule: ribosomal RNA, 253 nt
Filed under: uncultured bacterium
Lineage: Bacteria
Description: partial 16S ribosomal RNA
Rfam family: Bacterial small subunit ribosomal RNA
Source: RNAcentral